UAAGCUGGCGGAUGCAUUACACAUGCAAGUCGAACGGCAGCACGGGAGCUUGCUCCUGGUGGCGAGUGGCGAACGGGUGAGUAAUGUAUCGGAACGUACCCAGUCGUGGGGGAUAACUAUCCGAAAGGAUAGCUAGUACCGCAUACGUCCUGAGGGAGAAAGCGGGGGAUCGCAAGACCUCGCGCGAUUGGAGCGGCCGAUAUCGGAUUAGCUAGUUGGUGGGGUAAAGGCUCACCAAGGCGACGAUCCGUAGCGGGUCUGAGAGGACGACCCGCCACACUGGAACUGAGACACGGUCCAGACUCCUACGGGAGGCAGCAGUGGGGAAUUUUGGACAAUGGGGGAAACCCUGAUCCAGCCAUUCCGCGUGAGUGAAGAAGGCCUUCGGGUUGUAAAGCUCUUUCAGCAGGAACGAAACGGUCGGCUUUAAUACAGUCGGCUAAUGACGGUACCUGCAGAAGAAGCACCGGCUAACUACGUGCCAGCAGCCGCGGUAAUACGUAGGGUGCGAGCGUUAAUCGGAAUUACUGGGCGUAAAGCGUGCGCAGGCGGCGACAUAAGACAGAUGUGAAAUCCCCGGGCUCAACCUGGGAACUGCGUUUGUGACUGUGUUGCUAGAGUGUAGCAGAGGGGGGUGGAAUUCCACGUGUAGCAGUGAAAUGCGUAGAGAUGUGGAGGAACACCGAUGGCGAAGGCAGCCCCCUGGGUUAACACUGACGCUCAUGCACGAAAGCGUGGGGAGCAAACAGGAUUAGAUACCCUGGUAGUCCACGCCCUAAACGAUGCCAACUAGGUGUUGGGGAAGGAGACUUCCUUAGUACCGUAGCUAACGCGUGAAGUUGGCCGCCUGGGGAGUACGGUCGCAAGAUUAAAACUCAAAUGAAUUGACGGAAGGG
This 896-nucleotide ribosomal RNA is filed under the name uncultured Sulfuritalea sp. Its description in RNAcentral is "bacterial SSU rRNA". It matches the Rfam family "Bacterial small subunit ribosomal RNA", at positions 32 to 921 of the family's 1533-position model. The record is from RNAcentral. Lineage: Bacteria; Pseudomonadati; Pseudomonadota; Betaproteobacteria; Nitrosomonadales; Sterolibacteriaceae.